Molecule: ribosomal RNA, 467 nt
Filed under: uncultured bacterium
Lineage: Bacteria
Description: partial 16S ribosomal RNA
Rfam family: Bacterial small subunit ribosomal RNA
Source: RNAcentral
GACGAACGCUGGCGGCGUGCUUAACACAUGCAAGUCGAACGGAAAGGCCCUGCUUUUGUGGGGUGCUCGAGUGGCGAACGGGUGAGUAACACGUGAGUAACCUGCCCUUGACUUUGGGAUAACUUCAGGAAACUGGGGCUAAUACCGGAUAGGAGCUCCUGCUGCAUGGUGGGGGUUGGAAAGUUUCGGCGGUUGGGGAUGGACUCGCGGCUUAUCAGCUUGUUGGUGGGGUAGUGGCUUACCAAGGCUUUGACGGGUAGCCGGCCUGAGAGGGUGACCGGCCACAUGGGGACUGGGAUACGGCCCAGACCCCUAGGGGGGGCAAGGGGGGGGAAUAUUGCAAAAGGGGCGGAAGCCUGAUGCAGAAACGCCGGGGGGGGGAGGAGGGCCUUGGGGUUGUAAACCGCUUUCGCCUGGGACGAAGCGUGAGUGACGGUAAUGGGAAAAGAAGCACCGGCUAACUACGG